Molecule: ribosomal RNA, 274 nt
Filed under: uncultured bacterium
Lineage: Bacteria
Description: partial 16S ribosomal RNA
Rfam family: Bacterial small subunit ribosomal RNA
Source: RNAcentral
AUACGGAGGGUGCAAGCGUUGUUCGGAAUCACUGGGCGUACAGGGCGCGCAGGCGGUUUUACAAGUUAGAUGUGAAAGCCCACGGCUCAACCGUGGAAGUGCAUUUGAAACUGUAAGACUUGAGUAUCAGAGGGGAAGGUGGAAUUCCCGGUGUAGAGGUGAAAUUCGUAGAUAUCGGGAGGAAUACCGGUGGCGAAGGCGACUUUCUGGCUGAAUACUGACGCUGAGGCGCGAAAGCGUGGGGAGCAAACAGGAUUAGAUACCCUAGUAGUCC